RNAcentral lists this ribosomal RNA (619 nucleotides) under uncultured fungus. RNAcentral describes it as "eukaryotic LSU rRNA". The stretch from base 249 to 402 matches the Rfam family "5.8S ribosomal RNA". Lineage: Eukaryota; Fungi. The record is from RNAcentral.
CUUGGUCAUUUAGAGGAAGUAAAAGUCGUAACAAGGUUUCCGUAGGUGAACCUGCGGAAGGAUCAUUAAAGAGUAAGGGUGCUCAGCGCCCGACCUCCAACCCUUUGUUGUUAAAACUACCUUGUUGCUUUGGCGGGACCGCUCGGUUCCGAGCCGCUGGGGAUUCGUCCCAGGCGAGCGCCCGCCAGAGUUAAACCAAACUCUUGUUAUUUAACCGGUCGUCUGAGUAAAAAUUUUGAAUAAAUCAAAACUUUCAACAACGGAUCUCUUGGUUCUCGCAUCGAUGAAGAACGCAGCGAAAUGCGAUAAGUAAUGUGAAUUGCAGAAUUCAGUGAAUCAUCGAAUCUUUGAACGCACAUUGCGCCCCUUGGUAUUCCGAGGGGCAUGCCUGUUCGAGCGUCAUUACACCACUCAAGCUAUGCUUGGUAUUGGGCGUCGUCCUUAGUUGGGCGCGCCUUAAAGACCUCGGCGAGGCCACUCCGGCUUUAGGCGUAGUAGAAUUUAUUCGAACGUCUGUCAAAGGAGAGGAACUCUGCCGACUGAAACCUUUAUUUUUCUAGGUUGACCUCGGAUCAGGUAGGGAUACCCGCUGAACUUAAGCAUAUCAAUAAGCGGAGGA